GAUGAACGCUGGCGGCGUGCCUAAUACAUGCAAGUCGAGCGAAUGGAUUAAGAGCUUGCUCUUAUGAAGUUAGCGGCGGACGGGUGAAUAACACGUGGGUAACCUGCCCAUAAGACUGGGAUAACUCCGGGAAACCGGGGCUAAUACCGGAUAACAUUUCGAACCGCAUGGAUCGAAAUUGAAAGGCGGCUUCGGCUGUCACUUAUGGAUGGACCCGCGUCGCAUUAGCUAGUUGGUAAGGUAACGGCUCACCAAGGCAGCGAUGCGUAGCCGACCUGAGAGGGUGAUCGGCCACACUGGGACUGAGACACGGCCCAGACUCCUACGGGAGGCAGCAGUAGGGAAUCUUCCGCAAUGGACGAAAGUCUUACGGAGCAACGCCGCGUGAGUGAUGAAGGCUUUCGGGUCGUAAAACUCUGUUGUUAGGGAAGAACAAGUGCUAGUUGAAUAAGCUGGCACCUUGACGGUACCUAACCAGAAAGCCACGGCUAACUACGUGCCAGCAGCCGCAGUAA
This 515-nucleotide ribosomal RNA is filed under the name uncultured bacterium. RNAcentral describes it as "partial 16S ribosomal RNA". It matches the Rfam family "Bacterial small subunit ribosomal RNA", at positions 28 to 523 of the family's 1533-position model. The record is from RNAcentral.